This 91-nucleotide microRNA precursor is filed under the name Pelobates cultripes (western spadefoot toad). Lineage: Eukaryota; Metazoa; Chordata; Amphibia; Anura; Pelobatidae. The record is from RNAcentral.
AUGAACUCAGUCAAUGAGAGUGUGUUUUUUCUGUCAAGGUGCUUAAGUGCUAAGCACCUUGACAGAAAAAACACACCCUCGUUGACGCUGU